GUGCUCUUUUCCACAGCACACACACACAAAAAUGGGAAUAACACAAAGAAAAUUAGCAUGACCCCUGCUCAAGAAUGACAUGCAAAUUUGUUAAAUGUUCCAUAUUUAA
Vombatus ursinus (common wombat) is the source of this 109-nucleotide small nuclear RNA. The record is from Ensembl. Lineage: Eukaryota; Metazoa; Chordata; Mammalia; Diprotodontia; Vombatidae.